RNAcentral lists this ribosomal RNA (1106 nucleotides) under Pleospora sp. AFTOL 2207. RNAcentral's name for it is "eukaryotic LSU rRNA". It matches the Rfam family "Eukaryotic large subunit ribosomal RNA", at positions 273 to 1405 of the family's 3401-position model. The record is from RNAcentral. Lineage: Eukaryota; Fungi; Ascomycota; Dothideomycetes; Pleosporales; Pleosporaceae.
UUUGGGAAGGCAGCUCAAAGGGGAGGUAAAUUUCUUCUAAAGCUAAAUWCUGGCCAGAGACCGAUAGCGCACAAGUAGAGUGAUCGAAAGAUGAAAAGCACUUKGGAAAGAGAGUCAAAUAGCACGUGAAAUUGUUGAAAGGGAAGCGCUUGCAGCCAGACUUGCCUGUAGUUGCUUAUCUGGACUUUUGUCCAGUGCACUCUUCUGCGGGCAGGCCAGCAUCAGUUUGGGCGGUUGGAUAAAGGUCUCUAUCACGUACCUCUCUUCGGAGAGGCCUAUAGGGGAGACGUCAUGCACAGCCUGGACUGAGGUCCGCGCAUCUGCUMGGAUGCKGGCGUAAUGGCUGUAAGCGGCCCGUCUUGAMACACGGACCAAGGAGUCUAACAUCUAUGCGAGUGUUUGGGUGUCARGMCCAUMCGCGUAAUGAAAGUGAACGGAGGUAGGAACCCUUUUGGGUGCACUAUCGCCGAUCCUGAUGUCUUCGGAAGGAUUUGAGUAAGAGCAUGGCUGUUGGGACCCGAAAAGAUGGUGAACUAUGCUUGAAUAGGGUGAAGCCAGAGGAAACUCUGGUGGAGGCUCGCAGCGGUUCUGACGUGCAAAUCGAUCGUCAAAUUUGGGCAUAGGGGCGAAAGACUAAUCGAACUAUCUAGUAGCUGGUUCCUGCCGAAGUUUCCCUCAGGAUAGCAGUAACGUAUUCAGUUUUAUGAGGUAAAGCGAAUGAUAAGAGGCAUGGGGGUUGAAACAACCUUCACCUAUUCUCAAACUUUAAAUAUGUAAGAAGUCCUUGUUACUUGAUUGAACGUGGACACUUGAAUGUAYCGUUACUAGUGGGCCAUUUUUGGUAAGCAGAACUGGCGAUGCGGGAUGAACCGAACGCAGGGUUAAGGUGCCAGAAUAUACGCUCAUCAGACACCACAAAAGGUGUUAGUUCAUCUAGACAGCAGGACGGUGGCCAUGGAAGUCGGAAUCCGCUAAGGAGUGUGUAACAACUCACCUGCCGAAUGAACUAGCCCUGAAAAUGGAUGGCGCUCAAGCGUAUUACCCAUACCCCGCCGCCGGGGCRGAAUUUAAGCCCGGCGAGUAGGCAGGCGUGGAGGCUCGUGACG